RNAcentral lists this long non-coding RNA (1942 nucleotides) under Setaria italica (foxtail millet). RNAcentral's name for it is "long non-coding RNA (SITA_LNC002926)". The record is from RNAcentral. Lineage: Eukaryota; Viridiplantae; Streptophyta; Magnoliopsida; Poales; Poaceae.
UGUGCUUCUGACAUUCUUCUCAUUUGGCUUACGGCUUACCCUGGCCUUGGUUGUGUUUUCUCUUCUCCAUAUUGCUUGGUUCUGUCAGGACCAGUCCCAGCUGGGAGUUUCUCUCCCCGAUCUAGUGCUUUUAAUUUGCCAUGCUAUCUUAUCAGCGGCAGAGAAGCACAACUUUCAGCCAUCGUCUGUAACAACUAUGUAAGCCGGCUACUCUCGGCAUUUUCACAGCUACCAUAUCUUCACUCCUGUGCCUGACUCCUUUGAGAACAAUAUAGGGUCACAGUAGCUACAUGGUUUCCACAUGCACAAAGUUCUGUCUUGGCUUCUCGGAGCAACCUCCUGGAGCUUGAUCCUUCAGAGCGCUGACCCAGAACAGACGAGCCUGUUUCCAGAGUUGGAUGCCGGUCAUGCCCCUGUGCUGCUAUCACCUCAACGCUGCCGAAACAUGCUUCAGCCUUCAUGAGCGAGCCAUGGAAGGCGCCAUUGUUUUGCUUCUAUAGGCCCUUUCUCGGUCGAUCUCGCUGCCUUGUUGGAGAUUUCAGUGGUUAGAGAGCUCACUUCGUUAGUGCAUACAUCCCACCAGGUCCACAGCGAGAUGAUUGUUAUCUGUAAAAGUAAGGCUCCUUCCAUGAAGAAUACGUAGUGCAUCAGUAGCUGCUAUGCUCAGGUCGAUCAACUGGAGACCUAACUGUCAAGCUCUACCCUUCUUUAACUACCCUUUGAAUGUUCAUGUGCUGUACAAAUUAAAGACUGCUAUGAGCGAACCACCAAGCAAGUUGUUUGAUCCAUCCUUUCUUAUGAUGUGACACCCUUAGAACUUCCAAUUACCUAGGGAGUUAUUUCAUUUAUCAAAUCAAAGCACCCUAGAUGACGUAUUAUAUUGCUAACCAGAGGCAUAACCCUUCUUUCCCCUCAUAAAGGCAGUAGUCAGUUACAGGACUGGAAACUAAACACUGACAAUCAUAGCCACGUAUCACAACACUACAGCAGAUCAAAUCACAUACUGAUCUCUUUGAAUCUGCAUCAUUUAUGAUCAUUACAGCUUGACAUCAACAAAACACAACCGCAACAAUUACCACAUCUUAGUCGCACGCACCCACUCCAGCUGUCUAGCAGUGAUUGACAACAAAAGCACAACAAAAAGACCUUACUCCUCAAAUUUGUUAUCCAAACCUCAGCUUCCGCAUGCUAGUACUUACCGGGACAUCCUUGAUCUUUGAUCCAGUAGACUCGGGCUCCUUCAACUUGUGUGAUUUGCGAUCAUCCUCUACAGAAACUGCAAAGAAAACCAUGAUUCAAUACUUCAUGUAUAGUUAUAGUUUUCCACACAACAUAGAAUUGUCAAAAAAAAAUGAUAUUCAUUAUUUGAACUGCUUAGAUAAGCCAAAAAGUGAACUACUGAGGUACUGACUCUCAAUUAGCAUCUCACUAUCAACAAAGCCUGAAACACAAUUCCAGAUCUUCUUCACAACCACUCACUCAAAAAACACACGAUGCAUACUCAUUUUCACAUCAAAAAGGCAAGAACGAUCUGCUCUAUUUUUUAAGUCACAACUCAUAUUUUACUUUCAUCCAAAUCGGAACACUUUAUCCAUGCAGCAAGAAGAAACAAAUUUAAAUUUAUCAAAUUAGACACAGUUUGACCAAUUGCUCAUUGGCACAUCAGCCAAAUGUUAGCUACAAUGUCCCUCAGAAUUGUCCAAGAACAGUGAUACAUGUCAAUAGUAUCAACAUCCCAGGUUGGAAACUGAAUAUAGGAAUACUGGCCAAAGUAGGCAAUAAUUAUAAUGCAUUCAUCCCUCCAAAAGGCAACUAAUAAAAAACUGCAGAUAAGUAGUGACUCAGAAUACUCAGUUGUUACUCUACUUGAUGUCAUAUGCUGAAAUCUCCCUUAGAUAACCUAUCAAUUUCCACUUUACAAAGCAGCACUUUACAAAGUUAC